CGCUUACUCUCAGCCUCUUUGAUUGGUAGGCGGGCGGGCUAAGCCCUCUACUUAAGAUUCCAUUCAUAAGGUUAAUUUUCUCUUGUUGUGACGCUUUGGUUAGGCCGACUACUAUACUAUAGGCUACUUUUAGCUUCUAUAGUGGCCUUUCUACUUUGGUGUAGUUGUAGUUUGUAUUGGUACUGAAUGAAUAUAUCAAACAAAGGCGAGCAGUAUAAGCCCUUUUCCGGCCUGGGAAAAGCAGCGAACUCUAGAAGCUAGGGCCUUGUUCACCGAAGACUAUUCCGUUAUCAGCGGAAAGCCGCCUUAGAGAUUGAACGUCGACUUAUCUUAUUACCGUUCAAUCUAAGACAGCGCUGAUAGCUUGUAGUGAACAGCCCCCUUAUGAAAGCAAGCGAAAGCAGCCUUUGGUACUUAAUUAAGGUUUGGAAGCCUUGCAACUAUGAUAGAAAGCCGUUUGCUUCUU
Molecule: unclassified non-coding RNA, 466 nt
Filed under: Hevea brasiliensis (rubber tree)
Lineage: Eukaryota; Viridiplantae; Streptophyta; Magnoliopsida; Malpighiales; Euphorbiaceae
Source: RNAcentral